Molecule: ribosomal RNA, 1572 nt
Filed under: Arvicanthis somalicus
Lineage: Eukaryota; Metazoa; Chordata; Mammalia; Rodentia; Muridae
Description: 16S ribosomal RNA
Rfam family: Bacterial large subunit ribosomal RNA
Source: RNAcentral
ACUAAUUCUAGCUCUAUAAACCCGCUAUCUCAACUAAUUAUAUAUAUAUAAACUAAACCAUUUAUACUGAACAAAAGUAUUGGAGAAAGAAAUUAUCAAUAGAAGCUAUAGAACCAGUACCGCAAGGGAAAGAUGAAAGAUUAAUUAAAAGUAAUAAUAAGCAAAGAUCAAACCUUGUACCUUUUGCAUAAUGAAUUAACUAGAAAAAUUCUAACUAAAUGAAUUAAAGCUAGAGACCCCGAAACCAAACGAGCUACCUAAAAACAAUUUUAAGAAUCAACCCUUCUAUGUAGCAAAAUAGUGGGAAGAUUUUUAGGUAGAGGUGAAAAGCCUAACGAGCUUGGUGAUAGCUGGUUACCCAAAAAAUGAAUUUCAGUUCAGCUUUAAACUUACUACAAAGAACAUAAAAUCCAACCGUAAGCUUAAAUCAUAGCCAAAAGAGGGACAGCUCUUUAGGAAAGGAAAAAACCUUAUGUAGAGAAUAAAUACUCACUAACUUAACCAUUGUAGGCUUAGAAGCAGCCAUCAAUAAAGAAAGCGUUCAAGCUCAACAUUAAAAACAAUUAAUUUAAUUAAUUAAAAUAAAUUCCUACAUUAAAAAUUGGGUUAAUCUAUAAACUUAUAGAUGAGAUACUGUUAAUAUGAGUAACAAGAAUAACAAUUCUCCAAGCAUAGGUGUAUAACAACUCGGAUAACCAUUGUUAGUUAUAGAAUCAUAGAUAAUAAACCUCUAAUUAAAUAUCUAAAUUUCAACCGUUAAUCCAACACAGGUAUGCUUUAAGGAAAGAUUAAAAGGAGUAAAAGGAACUCGGCAAAUACGAAUCCCGCCUGUUUACCAAAAACAUCACCUCUAGCAUUAUAAGUAUUAGAGGCACUGCCUGCCCAGUGACUAAAGUUAAACGGCCGCGGUAUCCUGACCGUGCAAAGGUAGCAUAAUCACUUGUUCCUUAAUUAGGGACUAGCAUGAAUGGCUAAACGAGGGUUCAACUGUCUCUUACCCCCAAUCAGUGAAAUUGACCUUCCAGUGAAGAGGCUGGAAUAAUAAAAUAAGACGAGAAGACCCUAUGGAGCUUAAAUUAACUAGCUUAAUUAUUGUAAUAUAACCCAAUGGACCAAACUACAAAAAAAUAAGCCAGAAAUUUUGGUUGGGGUGACCUCGGAGAACAAAAAAUCCUCCGAAUGAUUUUAGCAUAGACUAACAAGUCAAAGCAACAUCAUAAAUCUUAUUGACCCAAAUCUAUUUUGAUCAACGGACCAAGUUACCCUAGGGAUAACAGCGCAAUCCUAUUUAAGAGUCCAUAUCGACAAUUAGGGUUUACGACCUCGAUGUUGGAUCAGGACAUCCCAAUGGUGCAGAAGCUAUUAAUGGUUCGUUUGUUCAACGAUUAAAGUCCUACGUGAUCUGAGUUCAGACCGGAGCAAUCCAGGUCGGUUUCUAUCUAUUAACAAUUUUUCCCAGUACGAAAGGACAAGAAAAAUAGAGCCUCCUUAACAAAAGUGCUCUUAACCUAAUUUAUGAAUAAAAUCUUAAUAUAAUAGUUAUGUUCAACUACACUUCACCUAGAAAAGGUU